GACGAACGCUGGCGGCAUGCCUAACACAUGCAAGUCGAGCGAGUAGAUCCCUUCGGGGUGAAGCUAGCGGCGGACGGGUGAGUAACACGUGGGCAACCUGCCUCAUAGAGGGGAAUAGCCUUCCGAAAGGAAGAUUAAUACCGCAUAAGAUUGUAGCUUCGCAUGAAGCAGCAAUUAAAGGAGCAAUCCGCUAUGAGAUGGGCCCGCGGCGCAUUAGCUAGUUGGUGAGGUAACGGCUCACCAAGGCGACGAUGCGUAGCCGACCUGAGAGGGUGAUCGGCCACAUUGGGACUGAGACACGGCCCAGACUCCUACGGGAGGCAGCAGUGGGGAAUAUUGCACAAUGGGGGAAACCCUGAUGCAGUAAUGCCGCGUGAGUGAUGACGGCCUUCGGGUUGUAAAGCUCUGUCUUCGGGGACGAUAAUGACGGUACCCGAGGAGGAAGCCACGGCUAACUACGUGCCAGCAGCCGCGGUAA
Molecule: ribosomal RNA, 478 nt
Filed under: uncultured bacterium
Lineage: Bacteria
Description: partial 16S ribosomal RNA
Rfam family: Bacterial small subunit ribosomal RNA
Source: RNAcentral